AGAGUUUGAUCAUGGCUCAGAUUGAACGCUGGCGGCAUGCCUUACACAUGCAAGUCGAACGGCAGCGCGGGGCAACCUGGCGGCGAGUGGCGAACGGGUGAGUAAUAUAUCGGAACGUACCCUGGAGUGGGGGAUAACGUAGCGAAAGUUACGCUAAUACCGCAUACGAUCUAAGGAUGAAAGCAGGGGACCGCAAGGCCUUGUGCUCCUGGAGCGGCCGAUAUCUGAUUAGCUAGUUGGUGGGGUAAAGGCCUACCAAGGCAUCGAUCAGUAGCUGGUCUGAGAGGACGACCAGCCACACUGGAACUGAGACACGGUCCAGACUCCUACGGGAGGCAGCAGUGGGGAAUUUUGGACAAUGGGCGCAAGCCUGAUCCAGCAAUGCCGCGUGAGUGAAGAAGGCCUUCGGGUUGUAAAGCUCUUUUGUCAGGGAAGAAACGGUGUGGGCUAAUAUCCCGUACUAAUGACGGUACCUGAAGAAAUAAGCACCGGCUAACUACGUGCCAGCAGCCGCGGUA
Molecule: ribosomal RNA, 518 nt
Filed under: uncultured Pseudomonadota bacterium
Lineage: Bacteria; Pseudomonadati; Pseudomonadota
Description: bacterial SSU rRNA
Rfam family: Bacterial small subunit ribosomal RNA
Source: RNAcentral